This 253-nucleotide ribosomal RNA is filed under the name uncultured bacterium. RNAcentral describes it as "partial 16S ribosomal RNA". It matches the Rfam family "Bacterial small subunit ribosomal RNA", at positions 524 to 776 of the family's 1533-position model. The record is from RNAcentral.
UACAGAGGUCUCAAGCGUUGUUCGGAUUCAUUGGGCGUAAAGGGUGCGUAGGUGGCGCGCUAAGUCAGGUGUGAAAUCUCGGAGCUUAACUCCGAAACUGCAUUUGAUACUGGCGUGCUUGAGGACUGGAGAGGAGACUGGAAUUCACGGUGUAGCAGUGAAAUGCGUAGAUAUCGUGAGGAAGACCAGUGGCGAAGGCGGGUCUCUGGACAGUUCCUGACACUGAGGCACGAAGGCCAGGGGAGCAAACGGG